Molecule: ribosomal RNA, 433 nt
Filed under: uncultured bacterium
Lineage: Bacteria
Description: partial 16S ribosomal RNA
Rfam family: Bacterial small subunit ribosomal RNA
Source: RNAcentral
AACGAACGCUGGCGGCAGGCCUAACACAUGCAAGUUGAGCGAGGACUUCGGUCCUAGCGGCGGACGGGUGAGUAACGCGUGGGAACGUGCCCUUUGCUUCGGAAUAGCCCUGGGAAACUGGGAGUAAUACCGGAUGAGCCCUUUGGGGGAAAGAUUUAUCGGCGAAGGAUCGGCCCGCGUUGGAUUAGGUAGUUGGUGGGGUAAUGGCCUACCAAGCCGACGAUCCAUAGCUGGUUUGAGAGGAUGAUCAGCCACACUGGGACUGAGACACGGCCCAGACUCCUACGGGAGGCAGCAGUGGGGAAUCUUAGACAAUGGGGGAAACCCUGAUCUAGCCAUGCCGCGUGAGCGAUGAAGGCCUUAGGGUUGUAAAGCUCUUUCAGCUGGGAAGAUAAUGACGGUACCAGCAGAAGAAGCCCCGGCUAACUCCGUG